GACGAACGCUGGCGGCGUGCUUAACACAUGCAAGUCGAACGGAAAGGCCCGGAUUGUGUGGGGUGCUCGAGUGGCGAACGGGGGAGUAACACGUGAGUAACCUGCCCUUGACUGGGGGAGAACGUGAGGAAACUGGGGCGAAUACCGGAUAGGAGAGCGGGGUGCAUGGUGGGGGUUGGAAAGGUUCGGCGGUUGGGGAUGGACUCGCGGGGGAUCAGCUUGUUGGUGGGGUAGUGGCUUACCAAGGCUUUGACGGGUAGCCGGCCUGAGAGGGUGAGCGGCCACCUUGCGACUGAGAUACGCCCCAGACUCCUACGGGAGGCAGCAGUGGGGAAUAUUGCACAAUGGGCGGAAGCCUGAUGCAGCAACUCCGCGUGCGGGAUGACGGCCUUCGGGUUGUAAACCUCUUUCGCCUGUGACGAAGCGUGAGUGACGGUAAUGGGUAAAGAAGCACCGGCUAACUACGUG
RNAcentral lists this ribosomal RNA (468 nucleotides) under uncultured bacterium. RNAcentral describes it as "partial 16S ribosomal RNA". It matches the Rfam family "Bacterial small subunit ribosomal RNA", at positions 28 to 507 of the family's 1533-position model. The record is from RNAcentral.